RNAcentral lists this long non-coding RNA (759 nucleotides) under Chrysemys picta bellii (western painted turtle). Its description in RNAcentral is "lncRNA (ENSCPBG00000025260.1)". Lineage: Eukaryota; Metazoa; Chordata; Testudines; Emydidae. The record is from RNAcentral.
GAGUUAUGCACCCUCGGCUUCUCAGACGUCUGUGCCACUCCACAGGGCUUCCUUUCUUGCCCUGCUUUGCAAGGCUGCCUAGCUAAUAUCUCGGGGAAAGCUAAACAAACAGCUUCCAAGUUCCGACACAGGUUGAUCAGACUCAGUUAAUGGUUCAUUCUCAUCGGGUCUGCGAAGCCAAAAACCAGGAUGGGCUGAGAGGCAAAAUCCUUGCGGGCAUUAAAAAUGAAUUAAGAGAGUCACGUGGCCUACAAUGGCAAGCUAGAACAAGAAGUGAGCAACUGUCUCAUCUACUAAAACCAGAAGUGACUCAAUGGGCCAACUCUUCCAACCCUGACUCGUUCAUUCAAGUCAAUGCUAAUUUUGCCUGAGAAAAGUCAUUCUCUCCCCUGCCAAACUCAACAUCUCAGAAGGACGUGUUGGGUGAAAGGCCUGGGAUCCCCAUUUGGAUCAACCUAAUUGACUGUGCUGUGGUGAAAACCUCGUUCGAAUAUGCUGUGGGAAGGAGCUGGUUCACAUUCUAAUCUACCUAGACGACCCUGGUUAUUUCUGAACCCCAUCUCCCCCAAUCCUUUUGUGCCAGUGCCUUGCUCAAACGUCAGUGCAAAGCUACUCCACAAGCUGACCUGAGCUAUGCUGCUGAUAAACUGAGGAAUUUCCAUUGCUGCCACUGAACUGCUUCCACUCAGCCGUUCUGCCAGCACGAGGUACAAUGUCAGGAACAUUCACAAAAAUAAAUAAACCUUCACAACAUUGGCA